RNAcentral lists this ribosomal RNA (253 nucleotides) under uncultured bacterium. RNAcentral's name for it is "partial 16S ribosomal RNA". It matches the Rfam family "Bacterial small subunit ribosomal RNA", at positions 524 to 776 of the family's 1533-position model. The record is from RNAcentral.
UACAGAGGUCCCAAGCGUUGUUCGGAUUCACUGGGCGUAAAGGGUGCGCAGGUGGCUGUGUAAGUUUGAUGUGAAAUCUCCGGGCUCAACCCGGAAAUGGCAUUGAAUACUGCAUGGCUGGAGGUUUGGAGGGGGGACUGGAAUUCUCGGUGUAGCAGUGAAAUGCGUAGAUAUCGAGAGGAACACCAGUGGCGAAGGCGAGUCCCUGGACAACACCUGACACUGAGGCACGAAAGCUAGGGGAGCAAACAGG